GCAUACCCCCACAAUCGAAGCCGGCUUUGAUGCAGUCUCGUUCACUGGAACAUGGAACAUCUUUUGCUUCAACUGCUAGGGACUUCCCUGGUAAUCAAAACUAACGUUAUGAUGAUUAGAUCGAUACCAACAAAACCAUAAUUAAGUAAUAUGGAUAAAGAUACGAGGAAGACUAACCAAACGCAACAAUUGAGAAGAGGAUCAAGAAAAUGAUCUUAAGAGAAAUUUUCUCCGUAAACUACUUGUUGAUUGUAUUGUAGAAGUACUUAUGCACCUAGAAACAUUAGUUGACUUGAGCUUAUGAUCUCCACUGUGUUUAUAUUUGACCUCCUUUUUGUAGUUUGAAUGAGGGGGGAUUUUGCAAUCAAUUGCAUAUCUGCCUUUCUUUAAUGACUAAUAAAUGCCGAAACCAGAAUUUAUUUAUAUUCAAUUUAUUUUAGGAUUUUAUCUUUAUUACAAAAGUUAAAAACACCAACUCCCAAGGUUUAGUCAAAUGUACAUACAGAUGCUUUUGGUUAGUAUUUCUUUUUUUAUAAUAGUUUAUCUUUAGAUGGCAUCCAGUUGGAGCGAUUUUCAAAAUGUAUAGAUAUGUGCACUUGAAAAUUGUUCUCGUAUAAAAUAUGGAGAUUGAUAGACAAAUGGAUUGAUGAAAAAUAGUAAAGAGCGGAUUUUAGAUGAACAAGAUAUGAUAUUGACCACGAUAUAGGAUGGUACCUUGACAGUGGAGUAACUCAUCAUCUCAGUAAUUCAGUGCAGAAUCUAAAUGAUGGUAAACUCUAUUCUGGCUUUAAUUCCUUACUUGUAGGAAAUGGUUAGGGCUUACAAAUUACACACAUUAGCUAUACCUGCUUUUACACUUAUUGUGGUUCAUAUCUUCAUCUUCAAGACAUAAUAUGUAUUCCUAAAAUCACCAAAAACUUAAUAAGUGUUUUCAAACUUCUUACUGAUAAUAACAUCAUUAUUGAAUUCAUUUCUAAUGCUUGUUUUGUUAAGGACAAGGUGAAGGGAACACUACUUGCUCAGGGGAUUGCUAAAAGUGGCUUAUACAAGCUAUUGUCAUGUGAAGAUUCUGUUCUAUCCUCCAAUAUUUCAACUCUCAGUCCAAGUUCCAUGAUGUUAGUCUUACCUUCUAGUACUAG
RNAcentral lists this long non-coding RNA (1139 nucleotides) under Citrus maxima (pomelo). Its description in RNAcentral is "long non-coding RNA (CMAX_LNC002794)". The record is from RNAcentral. Lineage: Eukaryota; Viridiplantae; Streptophyta; Magnoliopsida; Sapindales; Rutaceae.